UCUCUGGGGAGGGUCUGUCUCUGCUGGGUUUUGUUACAGAGACUUUGGUCCCUGGGAAAAUGGAAAAGGAAGAUCAUAUAUCUUGCCCGGGUUUUGUUUUCUCUGGAUGAAGUCUGAGCUAUCCGACAGCAGGUCCUGUGACUGGGGCCCUUGGCCAGUUCCCAGGGAUAAAGUUUCCCAGCAGAAGCAUGGCACCUGUGGAUGCAGCAGCAGCUCCCGGAAACUGCGGGGGUUCACACCUUGUCCUGCCAUCAAGGUGGACCUGAAGCAACGCUUUGUCCUGGACCUGGGCGAGAACUCAAUCCCACCCUCACUGAGCAACUCAUCAGGCCUCCAGGGGCCUCUUCAGCGGCCAUGAGUAAAGUAGCCACAGCCAUGGUGAGGACGACUCUCUGAUACAUGGAGAAUGGUACUAGUCCCAGCCCCAAGAAUGCUCAGCGCCCGUGACUUGUUGAUGGGCCCCUUCAUCCCAGGGCUGUCCUGAAGCUGGCGUGUGCCACUCCAUGAGAGCCAGCUAUAGAAUGUGUUGGAAAUUUGUGAGCUGGUCAUGAAAGGCAAGUGUGAAUAACAAUCGAAGAACUUGUAAUGAAAUGUUAUAUUAAAACAAAAAAACCACCUCCUAAUUAUUUUACUACGCUUUGCUAUUUUCUGUGCUUGCGGGUUUUUUAUAUCUACACAGCAGAAACACUACUUUAAUAAUGGCUCCUGGCUGUCUCUUCCCAGUGGCACAAUCUGUGAUGUCGUGUUGGUGGCCCGGAAUAGGCUAGGAUGGGAAUAAAGUUGUUAGGGGUUCUGACUUGGUUGGAGGGGUGGUUCUGCCACAGAUAUCAGAGCUUUUCUCUAGUUUAGCCAGGACAGAGCUGAUCUGGAGUUGCCAGACAGAUGACAGGCCACCCUCCAGAGUGCUGGCAGGUUGUAUGUGGUGAGCAAGCGGUGGCGUGGGUGUGCAGUGGGAAUCUGAGCACCCACUGGGGCAGAAAGCCCUCAGAGUGCCUGGGUCGCAGGGGCUGGGGUGGGGAGGCUGCUGAGGGUCUGUCACUCUGGAUGGGUCCCUCUGCUUCUUCUUCCUCCUUUGUUCCCCUUCCCCCUUAGGCGGGUCUUGGUGGGGGUGGGGCUGGUUUCUGUGUUCAGAGGGGUGUAGACAGGCAUCACCAAGAAAGGUCGCUGUCCCUCUGUGAGGGUGCUGGUGCUCCGAGACCCCACCAGAUGUCCUUACACCCACAGGGGACACGCCCUCCAACGACCUUGGAAAUGGCGGGAAGCCAGGUCCUCUUGCAGUGAGACUCCAGUGCCUUCUACUGAAAUAGGCUAUCUGGAUGCCUUCUUUGGAAAAGUGUCUAUGUCU
Molecule: long non-coding RNA, 1345 nt
Organism: Suricata suricatta (meerkat)
Lineage: Eukaryota; Metazoa; Chordata; Mammalia; Carnivora; Herpestidae
Exons: 4
Source: RefSeq, a predicted model, not a curated record